Pseudophryne corroboree (corroboree frog) is the source of this 698-nucleotide long non-coding RNA. RefSeq lists it as uncharacterized. The transcript has 4 exons. NCBI's taxonomy places the organism in Eukaryota, Metazoa, Chordata, Amphibia, Anura, Myobatrachidae. The record is from RefSeq and is a predicted model, not a curated record.
GGCUGCCUGUAGGGGGAGCUGCAGCGGAAGCGCAGCUCCUCUCAGGCAGUUCAAGGGGCCAUGAGACAGAGCUACGUGAGGCAGUGGCUGCUGUCUUCGGCUCCCACAGUAAUGUAAGUAUAUAACCUCACACUGUGGAAUGCCUUGAUGUCCUGAAAAUUGAUGUCUGCAGUUGUGGUACACAAGAACCAAGAGACCGUAGGGUGCUCUGAGCGGCACAAAUGGGACCAGCAAUUGGAGAGCAUUCUGGUUCUUGUAGUGACAUUUGGAGGACCAAGGGGGUGACACCUGGUUUGUACUACUAUCAUCAGACGGAGAGAAACUCCCUUGUGAUAUAACAACGUGGAUGAAAACCACAGAGAGAAGAUAGAAUGCAGUGCAAUUAAUGAACCUUAUAUGGCUUUCAAAGGUCAUUGAAGAAAGCCUUCUCCUGUGCCCCCUAGUGGACGAAAAAGAAAAGCAGAUUAUUAUAUCAUUGUCCUUAUUACUUUCUGAUUAUUGUAACAGGCUUCAUCUGAUGGUUAGGAUAGUUUACUGCAAAAGUACCUUAGGUAUUGGAUGGGAAUUACCUUCAUAAUAAUGCUGAAUGCUUUAGCACAUGACAAAUAUCUCUCCCCAUGUGGUAUACCUACUCACAUAAUCCCAGCACGAUAUUUGGCCAUAUUAUAAAUAAAACCUGGUCACUAGACUUACUAAUA